UCCGAGUUGACCCCGGCAGUCUCCUAUGAGUCCCCGACAUUACUCGCUGGCAACAUAGGACGAGGGUUGCGCUCGUUGCGGGACUUAACCCAACAUCUCACGACACGAGCUGACGACAGCCAUGCAGCACCUGUGCACGCUGGUAUUGCUACCUCGUUACUCUUUCAAGCUCCUACUACGUGCAUGUCAAGGCCAGGUAAGGUUCUUCGCGUUGCAUCGAAUUAAGCCACAUACUCCACCGCUUGUGCAGGCCCCCGUCAAUUUCUUUGAGUUUUAAUCUUGCGACCGUACUUCCCAGGCGGCUUAUUUAUCGCGUUGGCUACGCCACAAAAGGGGUCGAUUCCUUUUACAGCAAAUAAGCACCGUUUACGGCUAGGACUAC
Molecule: unclassified non-coding RNA, 382 nt
Filed under: uncultured Verrucomicrobiae bacterium
Lineage: Bacteria; Pseudomonadati; Verrucomicrobiota; Verrucomicrobiia
Description: contains 16S-23S intergenic spacer region
Source: RNAcentral